UUCAACUGAAGAGUUUGAUCAUGGCUCAGAUUGAACGCUGGCGGCAGGCCUAACACAUGCAAGUCGAGCGGAAACGAUCCUAGCUUGCUAGGAGGCGUCGAGCGGCGGACGGGUGAGUAAUGCAUAGGAAUCUACCCAGUCGUGGGGGAUAACCUGAGGAAACUCAGGCUAAUACCGCAUACGUCCUACGGGAGAAAGCGGGGGCUCUUCGGACCUCGCGCGAUUGGAUGAGCCUAUGUCGGAUUAGCUAGUUGGUAAGGUAAUGGCUUACCAAGGCAACGAUCCGUAGCUGGUCUGAGAGGAUGAUCAGCCACACCGGGACUGAGACACGGCCCGGACUCCUACGGGAGGCAGCAGUGGGGAAUAUUGGACAAUGGG
This is a ribosomal RNA of 378 nucleotides. It matches the Rfam family "Bacterial small subunit ribosomal RNA", at positions 1 to 375 of the family's 1533-position model.